AUUUAUAUAGUUUAAAUAAAACAUUACAUUUUCAUUGUAAAAUUAAAAAAAUAAUUUUUUAUAAAUU
RNAcentral lists this transfer RNA (67 nucleotides) under Sarcophaga caudagalli. Its description in RNAcentral is "tRNA-Glu". The record is from RNAcentral. Lineage: Eukaryota; Metazoa; Arthropoda; Insecta; Diptera; Sarcophagidae.